RNAcentral lists this long non-coding RNA (664 nucleotides) under Felis catus (domestic cat). RNAcentral's name for it is "lncRNA (ENSFCAG00000041759.2)". The record is from RNAcentral. Lineage: Eukaryota; Metazoa; Chordata; Mammalia; Carnivora; Felidae.
AUGUCAGUUACAGCAGAUCUGGGGGGAGGAAAGGAGGGGUGGGGCGGAGGGAGGAGAGAGGGGAGGAGUGGAGGGGGAGGGGAGGGAGAGCAGGCAGGGGACCCCGGGGCCUGCCUCCACCCCGGGCUGGCGCCCCUGCCCUGCCCAGCUGAUCAUCAUAUUGUUUCAGAGGACGGCGGGGAAGCAGAAACAAAAGAAGGAGGUUUGCUGAAACAGCCCAGAAUAUUACAGCGGGAGAAGCAGUUAAUGGGACUGGAUGCCAAUGAGCCUCCCCAAUAUUCUGAUUUCCCGGGAGAAACUCGGCCGGCCUCCCGGGACCCGGAGGGAGUGGGGACGAGACGGGCUGCUUGCUUGUGCGUGCCUUGCCGGACCGGUUCUGUUCGUUCUGAGAAGAGACUCGUCCAAGUGACCAUCCGGUCCACGUGGUCCCCGAAGGUCCAGGAGGAAGCUGGUCCGCCGGCGACUAUGUCAAUCACGGCUCCACGUGCCUGCCACCACGCGCCGCGCUUAGAGACCCAUAUGGACCUUCCCGUCAGGCUGGGACAGACUUAAAUUAUGACACUUUUCAUCUUGAUUGACAAUAACCUUCCCCUGGAAGUUGGGGAACAGCCCAGCUACAAUUACGUCUUGUACAAUAAAAUGAAGGAAAUAAUUUUAUGAUUCA